This 65-nucleotide transfer RNA is filed under the name Chaetocnema hortensis. RNAcentral describes it as "tRNA-Val". Lineage: Eukaryota; Metazoa; Arthropoda; Insecta; Coleoptera; Chrysomelidae. The record is from RNAcentral.
CAAAUUAGAGCUUGAUUAAGCAUUUUAGUUACAUUAAAAAGAUAGUUUGUAAAAACUUAAUUUGA